Molecule: long non-coding RNA, 221 nt
Organism: Alosa sapidissima (American shad)
Lineage: Eukaryota; Metazoa; Chordata; Actinopteri; Clupeiformes; Clupeidae
Exons: 4
Source: RefSeq, a predicted model, not a curated record
AUUGUGAAACCUCAAGAUGGCAAACUAAUCGGAAGGAACAAAGACGGAAAAUUUGGCUAUGUUUGCCUUCGCAACAUCCAACAGGAAUCUGACAUUUAUGAUGAUGUUGGAGAGGAUUGCAUUUAUGACAACUGAACAGAAACCCUGCUGAGUUUCCUAAAAUGGUUGAAAGGAUUGAAACUGAACUGAAUUGAAUUUGAACUAUUUGAACAUAUGAGCAU